This is a non-coding RNA of Pelobates cultripes (western spadefoot toad), 1296 nucleotides long. The record is from the annotation of a GenBank genome assembly. NCBI's taxonomy places the organism in Eukaryota, Metazoa, Chordata, Amphibia, Anura, Pelobatidae.
CAAUAAUCCAUAUAAGUGCCCUUUUAUCUGUAAAAUUGAUUGUGGAGCACGUGUGAUUUGAAGAAAGAGAAAGUGGUCUAGAAAACUUGAAAUAACACAAUUCAAUAAAUUACAUGUGGGCUAAACCCAUAGUUUAAAUUCCAGGUCAUUUAACACUAAUGCAAACCUAUGACUUUAAAGUAUGCAAAGCUGUAUUUAGUCUUUUUACAGAUCCCCAGCUGUUCUAUAUCUACCACUCCUAUGAGUUAUAGCUCUAUACCAACCAUGGCUUUGCAUCUUUGAACACUGAGUUUCCAUACCUAAGGUCUGCCCAAUGUAACCCCAGCAAUCCAAAUCUACUUACAGACUCUACAGGAUGCUACCGUUUUAGAUGGGUACCGUUGUAAUCUAAAAAGCAGAUCAGAAACCAUGGAAAAAAAUACUAUUUUGCUCAUCUGACAUGUUAAUGUUUCUGUCCACUCACAUGUUUGAUCCUCAGAAUAGAACCAUACAUAUGUUUUAGGGUGACACAUUCAUUUGUUUUCUGUAUAUGUAUACUUGUUGCUCAUGACACAUACAUAUGUCUUUCUCAGAGUUAUACAUAGUUCUGUUUUAACCCUUUAAGGACACAUGACACGUGUGACAUGUCAUGAUUCCCUUUUAUUCAAGAAGUUUGGUCUUUAAGGGGUUAAAGGGAUAAUCAAAACACCAUAACCUCUAUCUCAUGUUCUUAUAUAAUGGUGCUAGCUUGGUUGAUUCUUUGGUUCUAAGACAUGUUUGAGUGGUGUGACACAGAGAGUCCCCAGGGUAUCUCUGGCCUGGCCACUUGCUUGACAUAUUGAAAUUGUGGAAACUGCACAUUCUUAUUAGCAAUAUUUAUUCCGAUAGUAUUUGGACGCCAUUCAUUAGAAUUGUCAACUGGCAUACUCAGCUGUCCUGGUAGGAGUAACUUUCAGAUAGAUUUUUCUAAUGCCACUUUAACCCCUUAAGGUCCAAACUUCUGGAAUAAAAGGGAAUCAUGACAUGUCACACAUGUCGUGUCCUUAAGGGGUUAAGUUUUAGUUUAAAUAAUUAUUAUUUGGGGUUAUGUGUACAGCUGUAACCCUGCUUUUUGAAUUCUUCAGCUUCAAUCCAUGCUUAUGACCAAUUAAGAGAAAUCGGCAUGUACUCUCCCUGGCAUUUUGACAUGAGGUUAAUGUGAAGUGAAAAGUUACAUUGCCACUGGCAUUUUAUGGAUUGGAUGAGCUUUUGUUUUCUAUUUGUAGAUAAUCUGUUUUAGAAACAAAAAUCUAAUUUACAGCGUGUUCGUACUUUAAC